GCCUCUGCAGCUGAUGACAGAGCUUUUUUCCCCAUCAGAUCGACCCUGUUGAUCUACCUGAACUUUUAGCCAGUUUCGUCUGAUGCAUUGGC
Ochotona curzoniae (black-lipped pika) is the source of this 92-nucleotide small nucleolar RNA. RefSeq annotates it as small nucleolar SNORD12/SNORD106. NCBI's taxonomy places the organism in Eukaryota, Metazoa, Chordata, Mammalia, Lagomorpha, Ochotonidae. The record is from RefSeq and is a predicted model, not a curated record. The transcript has a single exon.